RNAcentral lists this ribosomal RNA (253 nucleotides) under uncultured bacterium. RNAcentral's name for it is "partial 16S ribosomal RNA". It matches the Rfam family "Bacterial small subunit ribosomal RNA", at positions 524 to 776 of the family's 1533-position model. The record is from RNAcentral.
UACGGGGGGGGCAAGCGUUGUUCGGAAUUACUGGGCGUAAAGGGCGCGUAGGUGGCCAACUAAGUCAGACGUGAAAUCCCUCGGCUUAACCGGGGAACUGCGUCUGAUACUGGAUGGCUUGAGUUUGGGAGAGGGACGCGGAAUUCCAGGUGUAGCGGUGAAAUGCGUAGAUAUCUGGAGGAACACCGGUGGCGAAGGCGGCGUCCUGGACCAAUACUGACACUGAAACGCGAAAGCCAGGGGAGCAAACAGG